RNAcentral lists this small RNA (313 nucleotides) under Histoplasma capsulatum. RNAcentral's name for it is "hypothetical RNA". Lineage: Eukaryota; Fungi; Ascomycota; Eurotiomycetes; Onygenales; Ajellomycetaceae. The record is from RNAcentral. RNAcentral also lists the same sequence under 1 other name.
CUAGCAGCGACGUUGUCAAAUAGUAUAGCAAGCCCUAACAAACCCCACACAUCAAUCGAAUUCGUAGAUCCAUGGGGUACUGAAGAUGAGAUUUCUCAAGCUGCUGGGGGAAAUGGCGCUAAAAGCGUUACAGGAACUGUCAUUUUGUUUCCCAUCGAGUUCAAUGAGGAAUAUCUUCAGAUGAGCCCGCUAUUCAUGGAAAGUGGUAAUGGUUCGGGAGAAGAGAGCAAUUAUUGGGAAACCAGUUACGGCAUCUUCCGCAAAUGGGGAAUAGAAAAAGAAGGCCUUUCUCUCAAUGAUGGCAUGAAUGCUC